RNAcentral lists this ribosomal RNA (505 nucleotides) under uncultured microorganism. RNAcentral's name for it is "bacterial SSU rRNA". It matches the Rfam family "Bacterial small subunit ribosomal RNA", at positions 9 to 501 of the family's 1533-position model. The record is from RNAcentral.
GAGUUUGAUCGUGGCUCAGGAUGAACGCUAGCGACAGGCUUAACACAUGCAAGUCGAGGGGCAGCGGGGGUGCAGGCUUGCCUGCACCUGCCGGCGACCGGCGCACGGGUGAGUAACACGUAUGGAACCUGCCCGCCACAGGGGGAUAACCCGGGGAAACCGGCCUAAUACCCCAUGCCGCCCGGACCGGGCAUCCGGACCGGGCGAAAGGAGGAAUCCGGUGGCGGCUGGGCAUGCGGCGCAUUAGCUUGACGGCGGGGUAACGGCCCACCGUGGCGACGAUGCGUAGGGGUUCUGAGAGGAAGGCCCCCCACACUGGAACUGAGACACGGGUCCAGACUCCUACGGGAGGCAGCAGUGAGGAAUAUUGGUCAAUGGGCGGAAGCCUGAACCAGCCAAGUCGCGUGAGGGAAUAAGGCCCUACGGUCGUAAACCUCUUUGCCGGGAGCAAGGGCCGGGACGAGUCCCGGCCCGGAGAGUACCCGGAGAAAAAGCAUCGGCUAAC